GAUGAACGCUGGCGGCGUGCUUAACACAUGCAAGUCGAACGAUGAAGCUGCCUGCUUGCAGGUGGUGGAUUAGUGGCGAACGGGUGAGUAUCACGUGAGUAACCUGCCCUUGACUCUGGGAUAAGCCCGGGAAACUGGGUCUAAUACCGGAUAUGACCUCUCAUCGCAUGGUGGGGGGUGGAAAGUUUUUAACGGUCUUGGAUGGGCUCGCGGCCUAUCAGCUUGACGGUGGGGUAGUGGCCUACCGUGGCUUUGACGGGUAGCCGGCUUGAGAGGGUGACCGGCCACACUGGGACUGAGACACGGCCCAGACUCCUACGGGAGGCAGCAGUGGGGAAUAUUGCACAAUGGGCGCAAGCCUGAUGCAGCCAUGCCGCGUGUAUGAAGAAGGCCUUCGGGUUGUAAAGUACUUUCAGCGGGGAGGAAGGGAGUAAAGUUAAUACCUUUACUCAUUGACGUUACCCGCAGAAGAAGCACCGGCUAACUCCGUGCCAGCAGCCGCAGUAA
This 507-nucleotide ribosomal RNA is filed under the name uncultured bacterium. RNAcentral describes it as "partial 16S ribosomal RNA". It matches the Rfam family "Bacterial small subunit ribosomal RNA", at positions 28 to 523 of the family's 1533-position model. The record is from RNAcentral.